UACAGAGGGUGCAAGCGUUAAUCGGAAUUACUGGGCGUAAAGCGCGCGUAGGUGGUUUGAUAAGUUGAAUGUGAAAUCCCCGGGCUCAACCUUGGAACGGCAUCCAAAACUGGCAAGCUAGAGUAUGGUAGAGGGUGGUGGAAUUUCCUGUGUAGCGGUGAAAUGCGUAGAUAUAGGAAGGAACACCAGUGGCGAAGGCGACCACCUGGACUGAUACUGACACUGAGGUGCGAAAGCGUGGGGAGCAAAUAGG
Molecule: ribosomal RNA, 253 nt
Filed under: uncultured bacterium
Lineage: Bacteria
Description: partial 16S ribosomal RNA
Rfam family: Bacterial small subunit ribosomal RNA
Source: RNAcentral